Long non-coding RNA from Grus americana (Whooping crane), 8706 nucleotides. RefSeq lists it as uncharacterized. The record is from RefSeq and is a predicted model, not a curated record. Lineage: Eukaryota; Metazoa; Chordata; Aves; Gruiformes; Gruidae. The transcript has 5 exons.
GGGAUUUCUGCAUUUUCCACUGCAGGAGCGAGUUGACGUCCCGGCUCUGAGCAAUGAGGUCUUCACGUGUGGGACUGUUUUGUUAAGACUUGACUAUGGCUUAACUGUGUGAGACUAAUGAGGGGAAAGCUGUCCUCUGAGCAUGACACAACAGGGCAGAAGUUCAUCCUAUAUUUUACCUCCUGUGUGGAUUAAGCUCCUCCUCUAGUAAGACAUCACCAAAUGAGUUUGGCCAAAACCUAGAUGUAUGUGUAGAGGUGCUCCUGUGCUUGGGGUCUUUGCCUCCAGACUGCUUCCAACCCUGGUGCAGGAAGUUAUGAACACCUUGGCAGCUCGUGUACAACCUGUCUGUUUUGCCAGACCUCUCCUACUUGACUCCUGCCUCUGUGCUCCUCCAUGCACAUGCAAGAUGCAGAGUAAAUGACUGGUCGAAUAGGAAGGAACUGAAAGGUACAAAUGGUUUGGAGCAUGAGUAUAUUAAGAAAAAGCUAAUGACGGAUAAUUUGCAUAGGAACGUCAAUAAAUGUUGUCUAUGUGUUUUUGACUGGCCACCCUGAAAUGUAUUCCUAAUGGCAACAAAUUGGAUAUUUCAGUUAACCCGGUGCCUUUCAUCAGAUCUGAACUCCAUUUAAAAACAACAUUAUUUUAACAUGUUUUUAAAGCACCUUUUCCUAACAUGAUCCAGGAGGCUGUGCAAAAACAACUUGGAAUAAACUUGAAACCUACACAGGGCCAAGCCAGAGAAAAGGAGCCAACACCUUUGGGCAAAGAAAACCAGAAAAUCUAAGGAGAAGAGCCAGGAAGAAGGGAGGGAAGAGAUGUUCAUGGAAAAAUCUACCUCUAAAGGAAAAUGCUGUCCAGAAAUGGCUUUUUUUUUUUUUUUUUUUGGAGAAAUCUCCAUGUAAAACCAAUUCAGUGCUUUAUGUAUUGAUUCAAUUUUCUCAUUGAAAGAAUACUCCAGCUGUUGAGAUAACACCUACUGCCAACAAGCUAUUGUCUCUGGAACCCCUCAGAUAAUGAGCUCGGUUAUUCUAUUAAUGGAAUAUGAGAUUAGGGAGUUUAGGUUAAAUACAGCAUAGAGCAACAGCAAUGUUCAGCCUGGAUCCCAGACUUGGUUUUGUGUGAUUGGUUAAUUCAUGAGUCGAGGAGACCAGGUGUUUAAAUUCCACAUUCUUGAUGAGGAAACAAGUAUCCACUUGCUAUCUGAACGAUGGUGUCCCUUAUGCAGUGGGAAAACUCCCCACACAGGCUGCUAAAGUGAUCUGUACCCAAAAUGGUCUUUUGCUACAUCGUUGUUCCUUGAAGCUAACUGAAAACGCAGUAAGUGGUGGGGAGGAUUGUCUUUUUCAAGGUAAAUAUUUUAUUUGUGAAAGAAAAUGAACCCAAAGGCUCCAUCAUACUGACAGUGACCUUCCUUGCUCGGUCUGUUGUACUGUGGAACAGUAAAGCACAUGCUCUGAUGGAUGGGACGGGCAGGGGAGAUUAUAUUUCUUUUUAUUCCUUUCUAGCUUUGUGCCAAUACACACAGGAAGGGAUGGUUUGGAUUUUCCUGUCAUUCCCUCUGUCACUCCAAACUGAAUGUUGUUGAGGUUCAGCUGAAAGUUUUUGGACCCUGAAGGAAUCUCUAGGUCAAAUUUUAUGGCCUUCAUUUUUGCUCAAGGCCAGACCUGAGGAUCGCAGAAAUUAUUCACUCAAGAUUCUUGUUGCUACUUUAGGUCUACAUCUUCUACUGAUUAUCCAUCACAUACACCAGGCACCAGUGACCCAUCCACCAGCAAGAGUUGGCAUGGGGCCAACGGGUUAAUUUUUGGAUAUCCUCAGACUUCUGCAUGAAAAUGAGAUUAAAAUAACCUCACAAAGUAGCCAAAAGUGGGCCUGAAUGUCUGUCUGAAUCUGGUGCUUUCAGUCCUCUAGCCAUGUCUCCCAGUCUAUGGGGAAAUACGAUCAUUUGAGGCCACCUCUGAAGGAAAGCUGAAGUAAAGCAUAGCUGAAAGAAAGUAUCUUUUAAGAAAGUGGAUUUCUGAAGUUUGUGGCAAUCCUAUUCUGAGCAAACUGACAUCUAAAAGACUGACAGCAGCAAAGAUAAAUAUAGUAGUAGAGCAGCAGGGGAGCUGAGAUGAAUAGAAGUAUAUUCCACUGAGAGACUCCGUGACAUCCUGAACCGCAUCAGUGAAGUCCCAAGAUUUGCCCUGUUGGAUUCAAAGACACUGACGGAGCCUGAGGCGAGUUCCAAGGCACAGGCUUCUCUUUCCUUGAAGUCUGUUCCCACUGGGUUUGCGUCCUCCUUGAAGAUUUUUGAGAUCUGGUAACAUAGGAUCAGAAACUCAUUAUGAAGUUGGUCUGUUCCUUCUUUUGUACUUUUGUACGCACUGUUUAUAUUUGUUGAGGCUCAUCAGGGCUUAACUUCUGUUUGAAAGUAGGAAUAUUGAACUCUGUUCUACUUUUUCCUCUUUAGUAAGAUCAGGAGCAGCCCAUACUUGUAAAAUAGAUGGAAAAGAAAGACUAGUCCUUAGGUCAGCCAAGACUUAGAAGGGGAAGAGCUUAAUUUGUUACAGUGAUAGCAUUUCGUUGUGCUUUUAAAUUUGAGAUGUAUCCUCAAUGGUCCACCAGUAGUAGGUAGAAUCCACUGCAAGGAUAAGAAUGUAGUUUCCUGCCUUCCACUGACUUACACCUGUUUAGUGAGUUUAGCCGGUAAUUUUGGGAUGAUGGAAAUGACACAGCUUCAGAUACAGCUCUUAUUUGUACAUCUAGUAGAGGCCUCUAUCCUGCUGAGUCCCAUAGAUGCCUGUUCUUCUGCUCUAGGUAAGGAUACGUAGCUGCGAUAUGAAUGAUUACUGAAGAUUUAGGGGGAAGGCAUAUCAGCCAACUGCUGAAACUUGUCUAUCGUUUUGCUUUUCUCUGGUUAUUUAAUAAUAAACCCAAGAUUGUUACAAAUGGAGAUGGCAUCUGGUCCCCUCCCCUUUUUGUAUUCUCUGUGCAUCUUGACACACUAAAGGAAACCAUAUAUUUGAGAACAAAACGCCUUUCUCAGAGAAAUUUUAUGAUAUAGCCUUGUAUGAUAUUAUACCAAAGCAGAGAAAAUGUUUAUGGGAGAGUUAACCAAGCAGUAUGUGUAUAUAUGUGCACUGCCAUGCAUGUGUGUGAACGGUCUCUGCAGGAUAAAAAGCUUUUGUGACGGCUUAAGAAAAUGUUGAACUACCAAGGGGACGGGGUAGCAGCAGUUUUCUGAAUAGCUGUGCUUUUCCCAGACAGCACUCAGAAAUAACCUUUAACUGCUGAGGCAAGAAAUAAAUAAAAACGCAGCAAAAUUUCUCUAAUGGGGAUUGUUUGGCUUCUGCAUGAGCCUGGACGAUGUGGCUGGGCUGGGUUGCUUUAGGAGAUCCGCAUUAAGAAAGCGUCUCAAGAGCAAUGCACUGCAAAUCUUUUUUAGAGUGCUGGAUUCAGAGACUGCUAGGUACUGCAAUUAGAUGUUUGUAGAAUAGGGGGAAUAGAAAAUAUAGUCACAUUACAGCUGCCCUGUGUCUCAAAGCUUGUUUGGAAACACUUUUAAUUGGUCUAUCUAUCAUGCCAUUCAUUUGGAUUAAGAAUGGCUAGUGCUCUGUGUUGCCCAGAAGCAAUAAUCUCAGCAAGACUAUGUUCUCUUCGCAGCUUCAUUAACCUCUACAAUAAACAGUCAAUGCUUUAUGGUAUAAAUGUUCUGCAGCUCUUUGGGUGGGCCAUCUGUCUUUUGAGGUAGCCAUGGGUGAAUGCUAGAUAGUUAUUUCCUGAAGAGAUCAGUACAAAAAUCAAUUUUUGAGGGGCCUGCAGAUACUGCAAGUUGACCCUAACUGCUCUUCUGUACAUCCAUUCCCAGAACCCACUUGUGGGCUCCUUCAGCAAAGCUCAAUGUAAUUGUAAAGACACUCAAAAUCAUGAGGGUGUGCUUGGGACGUCUGCACCCUUUAGGGUGGAAGCGAAAAGACAGGUUGCAGUUAUUUCCCUAGAAAAUAAACGGUGCUUUUUGACAUGUUGAAUCUUGCUGAAUUUGGCACCCGACUGCAGUGUGCCCUAGCUGGAGGGAAGAGCUGGGUGGAGGAACCUCAUGGAAAGAUCUCCUGGAUAAGCUUCUUUUCUUAUCUGAGAAGUGCUUUGAGGGUGGAGUAGAGAAGGGGAGAAUAACUGAACCAUGCAGGGACUUGGGCUUCUUAUCGCUGAGACUUGGCUGAGUGACCCACAAAUGGGGAGUUGGCUUUGGGAACUGCAUGCUCAGACGGUCCUUUCAGGCAGUAACUAAGCUGGCACUUAAGACAACAGGUUCCAGAUAGAAAAUAAAACCAAAAUACAGCAACAGUAAAUGUACUACUAAUGACUGGAAAAAAACCUCUGUGACAAAAUUCUGAAAUGGUGUGGAGUGACCUGGAGACAAAUGUGUGGCACCAGGCCCUAUGGAUAUCUGGGCUUGGCAGGAACAGGAGGAGAGUUAGUUUAUGAAGUUAGGUUAAAAGUGGAGUUCAGAGAGGGAGUUAAUGGUGUCUCACACUGGGUUUUGGGUGUGAAGUAGUUCCUCAAGCUUUUAGGGUUAUUGCUUUGUAAAUAGUCCCAUGAUAGUCCUGUAAGCCUGCCCUAUCACUAGCUCUGUGAAGGCUCUACAGGAGAAGAAUCCAUGAUGCUCUGACAUGUAAAAUAUGCAAUAGCUGAUUGGGGUGAGAUUGAUUCAGGCUGUAAUGAGGCUACAUGCAUGCUAAUAGAGCCAUAUUAGCUUGUUAAUAUUGCAAUGCUGCUUCUGUCACAAAUUGUUCUAAGUUCAGCUUGUGGCAAACAACAAUUGGAAGCAAAAUUUAUUCAUGCUCUGGGCUCGCGAUACAGAUGUCACCAUUGGCCUUUGAGUCAUUUAAUAAUGAUUGGAAAUAACAUUUUCAGGGAGAAAUUGCAAGAUAAAUUCCAGUUUCUACUUGGGCAAAGCUUCUUUUUAAAUCUAACCUCUCUGUGUCUUGUGUUCAUCCAGGUACUCACAGGAGUUUCCAUCAGCCAACCUUAACUCAGCUGUCAAAUAGGCCUGCAGCCUACCAGAGAGGAAUGGGCACCUAGCGAGUGAAUUUUGGGAUGGCAUGGAAUUUUAUUGGCACUAUCUAGCUUUUUAAAUUUCUUAUUCUAUCCUUUCCAGAAAUGCUUUAGGGAUCGAUCUGAGUCUUGAGAAGAACUAUUCCAUGGAAUAGCAAUGAGUUGUUUUAUAUACAAGCUACUGGAAAAUAAACAGGACCUCUUCGUUUAGCUGAUGAAAGCAGAGAUGACAUCUUCUAAAUUCUGUGGGCCUGUAGCCAAAUUCAUCCCAAAGAUAAUGGGUACCACAGGAAGGAAACAUGCACAGCAACAAACAGGACCUAUGAAUGCCUAGUGAUUUAAAGAUCAAAAAAGCUUGAAAAAAUCUCAUUGAAAGCAGAAGAAAUUUGAAGAGCUGAGCCAUGUGGAAGGUUAGAUCGAGGAACUGCUGGCUGCAACUUCUGACAUAUCUUUCAUCGUAUUCUCCUGGAGACAAGACAGAUAAUAAUAAAUAUUUCAUAUGGCACUGUUCUGGCAGCCCCUGUGCAAAAGGAAGGAUGGUUGGGACAGAAACAAGAGAAUAGUGGAAACAUCCUUUUACAGGAUUAAGAACUCAAGCCAUUCAAAGGAACUGGAAUUGCUAGAGCUGGCUGGUGAUGCCUGGCUUUACGUGCUUAGCAAGGAGCACGUUAGCAUGACCGACAAAUGCAGAGAAAUCUUCUCUUGCUUGGCAAGUCCCUGUAGAGAUUUGUUGCAAGUCAGUGCCAUGGUUCGCUCCAGGUUUCUUCAGUCAUGAAAGUAAGUCAUGGUUCAGCACAAGACUCCUGUGACCCCUUCUGCAAAGGAAGGUGAAGGUGGGGAAAAGCACUGGUAUCUCUGCCAACACCAUCUGCCUAUUGGUGACAAUUAAACGCUUCAGCUCUGCCAUGCUGAGCAUCCAUCCUGUUUGAGGGAGCCUGCGGUUUGCUACUCAGACACCAGUUCAGCUUUCCAUAUCCAUUAGCCAUGCUGUAGGGCAGGAUGAAUGGAGUAAAUGGUGUCCAGGCUUUUCAAAGAACCAGCAGUGAAAUUUUAUUUUAUCUAGAAAAUACAAAGUAGUAUUUCCAUUACUUCUUGUCUUCCUUAACUAGUCUUCAAUAUGGGCCUGUCUUACUGUGUUACUGCCAGGAAAAGCGUGCUACUGCUGUGCUGAAGGCUAAUGCUGUGAGAGAGGGGUGGGUGAGCAAGGACAGCCGCCCUAUAAUCCAAUAUAACAGAACACUGUCCUUGCUGGAUAAUAUGACAGUGUCUUGAAUUUUUUUUUUUUAAAGUAAAUCCUUUUGCUGAUUGAGUAGCUGAGGCAGAUAUCUGAAGACCUCUGUUUGCCCCCAUAUAAGCUGAUGAACUGUGGGCUUCUGGCUUUUUUCACCCAUACAGUGUCUGCUAAUGAACCUUCACUAUGUCUUUGAAGAAUCCUUUAUAGUGGUGAGAGGAGCAGCCGACGUGUCUGAGCAAUCUGGUUUAUGAUGCUGUCCACAGUGUGUUUCCUUUCUUUUAUUUCUUUUUUUAAAAAAAUAAAUAAAUAAAUUAUGUACUUGAAAUGGAAAUUCUCUGACAUUACUUCCUCGAAAGUCCUUCAAUUACUUUUGCAGGAGUACAGGUUUGCACUAUGGAAAAUGAGGAUGCCAAGGGGAAUGUCAAGUUGCGGAAGCUCUUCCCUCCUGACAGACCAAUUUGACCAUGAACUCAAUUGUUUUCACCUUUUUUAUUUCUCAGGGGAGUAGGUCCAUAUUACAGGGCCCUGGCCCCUGCAGGCAGGACGUCUCCAGUUGCAUCAUUGUUGGAAGCAGCGGAGAAACUAGCGAAAGCUAUUGCACAAAACAUACUUACAGCUGCAAACGGGGAACAUUGUUAAGGAUGAAUUUCUUCCUGAACUGGAUCUAACAACCAUCAGCUGAAAAAGCACUGAGAGAAGCAGCUGGGCAUGGAUUUCUGAGGUGGCAGAAGUAAAUGAUAACGUGACUACAAGAUAAAUCCUGGGCCUAUUUCAGCAACAAGUGUUUUGCAAUUGGUUUUGGUGGAGCCAAGAUUUCACUGGUUCUCUCUAGCCCACAAAAACCAGAAUUGUUCCACCAACGUGAAAUGAAGUUUGUACAAGCAGCUCUUCCACAUGAAGAGAAUGAAAAAGUACAGAGGAGCUCCUGCCAACUGCUUGCUUCAUAUCGAAACUAUUCUGAGGAAGAUUCUCAGAAAUGAGGGUGAAGACUACGGGGGAAAAAAAUAAUGACUGCUGCAACAUUUUCGUAGCUGUUUGUACCCUUUCCACAGAGAGUAAUGCGUACCACUUGAGGUCCUGCUGUUUCUGUGGCUUAUCUCAGGAAGUAACGAGGUCUGUAAUCCUGGCCGAGUUUAGCAAAGCCACUAAUUGCAAAUUGCUUUGAUUUCACUUUUCAGCUUCUUGUCCCAUCGAGUGCUGUCUCCUGUCUGGAACCGUGCCUGAAGGUGGUGACAGGUUCCUGCUGGCUGGGAGCUGGUGUGUGUCCUUCCACUUUUGAGACAGUCAGCUCUGCUAAAUGUUGCUCUCUAUCCUACGCUUCUAUCCACGUUACCAGAGGAACCAUGCCUCUGGUUGUGUGGAUCCAUCUGCUGUUUCACCCUGCUUUGACCAUGGGAAGCACCAGAUGCGUUCGUGGAAGAUGUUGGGCACCCAUAGAGAGAAGAGGGGAUUUCUCACUCGUCUCAAGGCCAGCUUUUUGAGAUGAGCUCAAGUCUUCUUUGAAGCUCUGGAACAAAUGGCUCUGUUUGUUGCCCUGUUGAAAACUUGGCUAGAAGUCACUGACUUUCCUUCUGAAGCACAAUGUUUUAUGAUCUUCAUAUUUCUUUUGUUCUAUUGGCAUAAUUUAGAGAUUUCUUUAUUAUUUGUAUUUAUGUGUCAGUUCUUGGAGCACUGCGGGGAAGACAAGAUAGAGAAAUUGUACUGAAAGAGCGAGCUGUCAAGCUUAAUAUGGUGCAUUUCUCAUUUUCUGAAACUGUGGCAAGAAAUAUUUGCGAGGCAGUUGUUUGGACUGUAUCUGUCCCAGCUUUAGAAACUUUGACGUAUUUAUAAUGUUUGACUAUUUAAAAGGCAUGAAUGCAUGCGACUGCUAUAAAUCUAGAUAAGUACAGCACUGGGCAAUGCUGGUCUGCAAGGUGUCAGCAGGUAGCUGGUGACGGCAACUGUGAAUGCCCACGGUAUCUGUUGGCUAAGGGGGCCUCCAGCCCCAGGUGCCUGCAGGAGGCAGGAGCUAGCUCCUAACAGCAGUUGGGAGCAGACACAAAGUCGCAUUGUCAUUGAUCAUCAUCAUUUUUACAAGUUUAAUGUAGCUGGUUUGUGUCUACAAUGAGAAAAACACAAUUUUGGAUAGCAGUAGCGUUUUGUCUGCCUGGGUGAUUAGUGUUUCAUUUAGCGUUCUGCUAACUGCCUGCCAGACUCAUAAGGGAUGCAAGCUGGUGUGUGACAUCUUUCUCCAAGACUGUUAGGACCUUCUUUGUUUAAACAGAGGUUGAGGGAAACUUUGAUGUGCAAAGUAACUCAGUGGCCAAUGUGACCAUAUUGAGCAAGCAAGAACCAUGCUUUGGUCUGUGAGGAGUAGUUUGCGGGGGUUUUUUGUUUUGUUUUUUGGGGUUUUUUUUGGGAGGGUUUUUGGGGUUGUUUAUUGUUGGUUUUUG